CCCUAGCCCUGAUGGAAACGGCAUCCUUUACUGACGGGGUUCGGCAGGAAAGAUAUAGUGUACAGCAGGAAAAAGC
This 76-nucleotide small RNA is filed under the name Flavobacterium degerlachei. RNAcentral's name for it is "Flavo-1 RNA". It matches the Rfam family "Flavo-1 RNA". The record is from RNAcentral. Lineage: Bacteria; Pseudomonadati; Bacteroidota; Flavobacteriia; Flavobacteriales; Flavobacteriaceae.